AAUUCAAACAAAUAUGUAUGUAUGCAAUUUAUUUGUAUAUAUGGUAUUU
This 49-nucleotide unclassified non-coding RNA is filed under the name Trypanosoma minasense. RNAcentral describes it as "ITS3". The record is from RNAcentral. Lineage: Eukaryota; Euglenozoa; Kinetoplastea; Trypanosomatida; Trypanosomatidae.